AGAGUUUGAUCAUGGCUCAGAUUGAACGCUGGCGGCAGGCCUAACACAUGCAAGUCGAGCGGAUGAAGGGAGCUUGCUCCUGGAUUCAGCGGCGGACGGGUGAGUAAUGCCUAGGAAUCUGCCUGGUAGUGGGGGACAACGUUUCGAAAGGAACGCUAAUACCGCAUACGUCCUACGGGAGAAAGCAGGGGACCUUCGGGCCUUGCGCUAUCAGAUGAGCCUAGGUCGGAUUAGCUAGUUGGUGAGGUAAUGGCUCACCAAGGCGACGAUCCGUAACUGGUCUGAGAGGAUGAUCAGUCACACUGGAACUGAGACACGGUCCAGACUCCUACGGGAGGCAGCAGUGGGGAAUAUUGGACAAUGGGCGAAAGCCUGAUCCAGCCAUGCCGCGUGUGUGAAGAAGGUCUUCGGAUUGUAAAGCACUUUAAGUUGGGAGGAAGGGUUGUAGAUUAAUACUCUGCAAUUUUGACGUUACCGACAGAAUAAGCACCGGCUAACUCUGUGCCAGCAGCCGCGGUAAUACAGAGGGUGCAAGCGUUAAUCGGAAUUACUGGGCGUAAAGCGCGCGUAGGUGGUUCGUUAAGUUGGAUGUGAAAUCCCCGGGCUCAACCUGGGAACUGCAUCCAAAACUGGCGAGCUAGAGUAUGGUAGAGGGUGGUGGAAUUUCCUGUGUAGCGGUGAAAUGCGUAGAUAUAGGAAGGAACACCAGUGGCGAAGGCGACCACCUGGACUGAUACUGACACUGAGGUGCGAAAGCGUGGGGAGCAACAGGAUUAGAUACCCUGGUAGUCCACGCCGUAAACGAUGUCUACUAGCCGUUGGGAGCCUUGAGCUCUUAGUGGCGCAGCUAACGCAUAAAGUUGACCGCCUGGGGAGUACGGCCGCAAGGUUAAAACUCAAAUGAAUUGACGGGGGCCCGCACAAGCGGUGGAGCAUGUGGUUUAAUUCGAAGCAACGCGAAGAACCUUACCAGGCCUUGACAUCCAAUGAACUUUUCAGAGAUGGAUUGGUGCCUUCGGGAACAUUGAGACAGGUGCUGCAUGGCUGUCGUCAGCUCGUGUCGUGAGAUGUUGGGUUAAGUCCCGUAACGAGCGCAACCCUUGUCCUUAGUUACCAGCACGUUAUGGUGGGCACUCUAAGGAGACUGCCGGUGACAAACCGGAGGAAGGUGGGGAUGACGUCAAGUCAUCAUGGCCCUUACGGCCUGGGCUACACACGUGCUACAAUGGUCGGUACAAAGGGUUGCCAAGCCGCGAGGUGGAGCUAAUCCCAUAAAACCGAUCGUAGUCCGGAUCGCAGUCUGCAACUCGACUGCGUGAAGUCGGAAUCGCUAGUAAUCGCGAAUCAGAAUGUCGCGGUGAAUACGUUCCCGGGCCUUGUACACACCGCCCGUCACACCAUGGGAGUGGGUUGCACCAGAAGUAGCUAGUCUAACCUUCGGGAGGACGGUUACCACGGUGUGAUUCAUGACUGGGGUGAAGUCGUAACAAGGUAGCCGUAGGGGAACCUGCGGCUGGAUCACCUCCU
This 1527-nucleotide ribosomal RNA is filed under the name Pseudomonas sp. RDPT5. Its description in RNAcentral is "bacterial SSU rRNA". It matches the Rfam family "Bacterial small subunit ribosomal RNA". The record is from RNAcentral. Lineage: Bacteria; Pseudomonadati; Pseudomonadota; Gammaproteobacteria; Pseudomonadales; Pseudomonadaceae.